Molecule: long non-coding RNA, 3362 nt
Filed under: Homo sapiens (human)
Lineage: Eukaryota; Metazoa; Chordata; Mammalia; Primates; Hominidae
Description: non-protein coding lnc-PLXNA1-1:1
Source: RNAcentral
UGAUGCAGCGUAGCCCAGCGGUGGUGCCCUCCAGGCUUCUGAGCCCCAAACCCCCGCUUCUCCUCCUCUGUACUUCCUCUCCCUGCCCCCCUGGAUGGGAGCUGUGCAUGGACACAUAAGAAGGUCGGCUGCCCUGAAGCCACCAUGCUGGAGAGGCUGUGGAAAGGCCCCACAGAGCUAGACAGAGCUGCCAAAGAGCCCCGCCCCAGGGGAGUCUUGCCAGACAGGUGGGUGAGGAGCUGCAGCCUGUGCAAGUCCCAGCUGAGGCCUCGGACACUGGGACAGAGACCAGCCUUUCCCACUGUCCUCUCUGAAUUCCCUGCAGAGACCAUAAGAGAGAAGAGCAGCUACUGGCUGAAGCCACUACAUUUUAGGGCGACUUGUGAUGCUGCAGCAACUGAUAGCAACUGCACCCCCACAGCCCCUGAUGGAUGCUCUGCCUGGCACCAGGCUCUGUGCCCCUGAGAAGAUGGGCUCCCUGGCUUGCAGAGCUGCUAUUUGUGGGGCCGGAAUAAUAAACAGCUGAAUGGACCAGAGACUAUCAGUUGGUUAAAUGGGACUGGGAUGCAUUUUCCAUCAGGGAAUCAAUCGGGGCUCCUCUGAAGAGGUGAUAUGAGCUCUGAGGCCUGGAGAAGGAAGAGAUGGCUCUGGGAGCUGGGACCAGGCAGCCCAGCCCAGGAUUGCUGUGAUGGCCUCUGCUGGGUAUGGCCCCCAGAGGCCUGCUGGCCUGUGAGCUCUAUGGGGGUGCACAGGGCACUGGUUCUGCCCAAGAGGAAACGCCAGCAGUGGAGUUGGUGCUGGUGUAAGAGCAACAGCAAAGGUAUUUUUUUUAACUUUUUAUAUUGAAAUAAUGAUAAUCUGUAACAAUUACAGAUUCACAGGAAGUUGGAAAGAUAAUAGAGAGAGAAGCCUGUGUACCCUUCACCCAGUUUCCCCCAAUGGUCACAUUCUACAUAACCACCACACAUCAGAAAAGGGACAUUGGCACUGGUGUGACAAGGGUGUCAAGCCCUGUGUCACUUUAUCACACAUGGAGAUCCAUGUUUCUGUCCCUGUAACCAGGAUACAGAGCUGUUCCCUCUCCAUGGAGACCCCCUGGUACUCCCUUUCACAGUGACAAUCACCCCCCUACCCCAGCUCCUGGCAGCCGCCAAUCUCCUCUCCAUCUCUAUGAUUUUGUUAUUUCAAAAAUGUUAUAUAAAUGGAAUUAUGCCAUUUACAUUUUCUGUAAUUACUGACAUAACUUCAGUCUGCUGUUUUAUUUUUUGCUUUGUUUGUUCCUGUGUUUGUUGGUGGUGGUGUUUCUCUAUUUUCUUUUUUUUGCCUUGCUGAGUGUUACUUGGACAUAUUUAAGCAUCUAUUUUGGUUUUUGUACAGUGUUUUUAGUGUAUAUCUUUGUAUAGAUUUCUAGUGGCUGCCAUACUGCAUUAUACAUAUGUACUUAUCACAGUCUACUGCCAUCAACAUUUUACCAUUUCGAGUGACAUGUAGAAAGCUUCCCUCUCUUUGUGUCCCUUUUCCCCUUCCAUUUAUAAUAUAAUUAUCCUAAAUAUUUUUUCUACAUACAUUGAGACAUUCGACAAUGCUAUAAUUUUUGCUUCAACCACCAAAUGUAACUUAGAAACCUUCAGAGAAGGGGUCCAUUGUAUUUACCCAUAGUUUUGCUCUUUCCAUUGUACUUUCUUCCUGAUGUCUCAAGAUUCCUUCCUUAUCACUUUCUUUCCAUGAGAAGAACUUCCUUUGGCCCUCCUUUCACAGUAGGUUUGCUGGCAACAAACUUACUUUUCCCUUCACCUGAGAAGGUCUUGAUUCCUCCUCAUUCCUGAGGGAUAGUUUCACUGGGUAUAGAAUUUAUGGUUGACAGCUCUUUUCUUAUGGCACUUAAAAACGUUCCACUUAUUUCUUGCCUCCAUGCUUUCUGAUGAGACAUCCAUGUUUUUUGGAAGGUGGUUACGUGGCUGCUUUCAAAAUUGGGGUUUGUUGUUGUUUAGUUUUUGGAAGUCUGACUGUGAUAUGUCUUGGUGUGGAUUUCCUUGGGUUUAUAACGUUUGGAGUUCAUUCAGCUUCUUAAAUCCUUACAUUUAUGUCUUUUGCCAAGUUUAGGAGAUUGCUUCUUCAAUAUUUUUUCGGCUUUGUCCUCUUUCUCUUCUCCUCCUGGCAAUUAGAUGACAUGAAUAUUAGAUCUUUUGUUAUCUCUCAGAGAACUCUUUUCUCCCACCCCUAGUCUAUUUUCUCUCUGUUUCAGACUGGGUGGUUUAUAUUGCUCUAUCUCCAGGUUCACUGCAUCUUUCCUUUGUCCCCUCUGUUCUGCUUUGGAGUUAUCGAUUAAGUUUUUAUUCUGAUUAUUGUAUGUUUUUAAAAAAUUCUAAAGUGUCCAUUUGGUUCUCUUUAUAACUUCUAUUUCCUUGCUGAAACAUUCUUUAUUUUCAUUUGUUUCAAGCAUGUUCAUAAUUGCUCAUCAAAGCACCUUUAGGAUGGCUGCUUUAAAAGCCUCAUCAGGUAAUCCUGAUAUUCCUUCCUGUUCAACAUAUACCAGUAUUGGUGUAUGCUGAUUGUAUUUUCUGGUACAACUGACAUUUCUCUGGUUCUUGCUAUGACAGGUGAUUUUCUUAUUGGAUCUUGAAAGUUUGGGGUAUUGUAUGUUGAGACUCUGGAUUACAUUUCAAUCUUCUGUUUCACAGCUGGCCUCUCCUGACCCCAUAUGGUAGACAGAGAGGGGUGCUGCCCCAUUACAUCAGGAAUGGGGGAGGGAAACCCAGCAUCCCCACUUUAACCCAGGUGUUUUUAGCACAAUGAGAAAACUUGGGUUGCUUCCCUCAUCUCCAGGGAAGCAGGAGGCUGAUCUCUUGCUGCCCUGCUUCUUGGCAGGGCAGUGGGGGCAAGGGCUGCUAGGCCUUAAAAAGAGGGUGCCAGGGAUGGCUUUUCCAGAGGCUAUGGCCCUGGAGAGGGCUCCCAUACUUGGGAACAUCUUUGGUGACCUGACUGUGACCCCCAGGAUGACAAGCAGCAUUCUGGGAGUGGUAGGAGCUGGACUGAGCCACGGACUGCAAACUGGAGGCCUGCUGGCUGGGAUCUUCACACUUUUGAAAGGUCUUGUUCACUCCACACUCUCCCAAUAACAUGUGCAUGCAUUCCACCGAUUACUGCUGCUGCAGCCCUGGCCUGCUCCGGCAUUUGGCCCAUCUCACUAUUUACCUCCAUCAACUACUUGGCCCCUGAAGUCAUCUGAGUUUGCAGCCCCAGGAGGAGGCAGUGCCAAGUCCCCCCAGUCUCCAGGGAUUGCUUGCAUGUGUGUGGGCAGGUGGGGGGCAGGGGGAGGGACUCUGCUACUCUGUCUUUUGUGCAAUAAAGUAUUGACAUUG